RNAcentral lists this ribosomal RNA (425 nucleotides) under uncultured bacterium. RNAcentral describes it as "partial 16S ribosomal RNA". It matches the Rfam family "Bacterial small subunit ribosomal RNA", at positions 354 to 796 of the family's 1533-position model. The record is from RNAcentral.
GUGGGGAAUAUUGCACAAUGGGGGAAACCCUGAUGCAGCGACGCCGCGUGGAGGAUGACGGCCUUCGGGUUGUAAACUCCUUUUGUCAGGGACAAUGGUGAUGGUACCUGACGAAUAAGCCACGGCUAACUCUGUGCCAGCAGCCGCGGUAAGACAGAGGUGGCGAGCGUUGUUCGGAAUUACUGGGCUUAAAGGGCGCGUAGGCGGUGGUGUAAGUCUGGGGUGGAAUGCUACAGCUCAACUGUAGAGCUGCCUUGGAAACUGCAUUACUUGAGGCGGUGAGGGGAAGGCGGAAUUCCUGGUGUAGCGGUGAAAUGCGUAGAUAUCAGGAGGAAGGUCUGUGGCGAAGGCGGCCUUCUGGCACUUGACUGACGCUGAGGCGCGAAAGCGUGGGGAGCAAACAGGAUUAGAAACCCCAGUAGUCC